CCAAUAGCGUAUAUUAAAGUUGUUGCAGUUAAAAAGCUCGUAGUUGAAUUUCGGGGUUAAUAAGUUGGUCGUACCUAUGGUAUGUACUGGCUUUAUUGAUUCCUACCUCUUGACGAACUGUGAUGCCAUUAAUUUGGUGUUGCAAGGAAUCAGGACUGUUACCUUGAAAAAAUUAGAGUGUUUAAAGCAGGCUUACGCUUGAAUACAUUAGCAUGGAAUAAUGAAAUAGGACGUUUGAACCUAUUUUGUUGGUUUCUAGGAUCGACGUAAUGAUUAGUAG
RNAcentral lists this ribosomal RNA (280 nucleotides) under uncultured Glomus. RNAcentral's name for it is "partial 18S small subunit ribosomal RNA". It matches the Rfam family "Eukaryotic small subunit ribosomal RNA", at positions 591 to 875 of the family's 1831-position model. Lineage: Eukaryota; Fungi; Glomeromycota; Glomeromycetes; Glomerales; Glomeraceae. The record is from RNAcentral.